GACGAACGCUGGCGGCGUGCCUAAUACAUGCAAGUAGAACGCUGAAGAGAGGAGCUUGCUCUUCUUGGAUGAGUUGCGAACGGGUGAGUAACGCGUAGGUAACCUGCCUGGUAGCGGGGGAUAACUAUUGGAAACGAUAGCUAAUACCGCAUAAAAUUGAUUAUUGCAUGAUAAUUAAUUGAAAGAUGCAAUUGCAUCACUACCAGAUGGACCUGCGUUGUAUUAGCUAGUUGGUGAGGUAACGGCUCACCAAGGCGACGAUACAUAGCCGACCUGAGAGGGUGAUCGGCCACACUGGGACUGAGGCACGGCCCAGACUCCUACGGGAGGCAGCAGUAGGGAAUCUUCGGCAAUGGGGGGAACCCUGACCGAGCAACGCCGCGUGAGUGAAGAAGGUUUUCGGAUCGUAAAGCUCUGUUGUAAGAGAAGAACGGGUGUGAGAGUGGAAAGUUCACACUGUGACGGUAUCUUACCAGAAAGGGACGGCUAACUACGUGCCAGCAGCCGCGGUAAUACGUAGGUCCCGAGCGUUGUCCGGAUUUAUUGGGCGUAAAGCGAGCGCAGGCGGUUAGAUAAGUCUGAAGUUAAAGGCUGUGGCUUAACCAUAGUAUGCUUUGGAAACUGUUUAACUUGAGUGCAGAAGGGGAGAGUGGAAUUCCAUGUGUAGCGGUGAAAUGCGUAGAUAUAUGGAGGAACACCGGUGGCGAAAGCGGCUCUCUGGUCUGUAACUGACGCUGAGGCUCGAAAGCGUGGGGAGCAAACAGGAUUAGAUACCCUGGUAGUCCACGCCGUAAACGAUGAGUGCUAGGUGUUAGGCCCUUUCCGGGGCUUAGUGCCGCAGCUAACGCAUUAAGCACUCCGCCUGGGGAGUACGACCGCAAGGUUGAAACUCAAAGGAAUUGACGGGGGCCCGCACAAGCGGUGGAGCAUGUGGUUUAAUUCGAAGCAACGCGAAGAACCUUACCAGGUCUUGACAUCCCGAUGCCCGCUCUAGAGAUAGAGUUUUGCUUCGGUACAUCGGUGACAGGUGGUGCAUGGUUGUCGUCAGCUCGUGUCGUGAGAUGUUGGGUUAAGUCCCGCAACGAGCGCAACCCCUAUUGUUAGUUGCCAUCAUUCAGUUGGGCACUCUAGCGAGACUGCCGGUAAUAAACCGGAGGAAGGUGGGGAUGACGUCAAAUCAUCAUGCCCCUUAUGACCUGGGCUACACACGUGCUACAAUGGCUGGUACAACGAGUCGCAAGCCGGUGACGGCAAGCUAAUCUCUGAAAGCCGGUCUCAGUUCGGAUUGUAGGCUGCAACUCGCCUACAUGAAGUCGGAAUCGCUAGUAAUCGCGGAUCAGCACGCCGCGGUGAAUACGUUCCCGGGCCU
Molecule: ribosomal RNA, 1369 nt
Filed under: uncultured bacterium
Lineage: Bacteria
Description: bacterial SSU rRNA
Rfam family: Bacterial small subunit ribosomal RNA
Source: RNAcentral